Dendrobium catenatum is the source of this 3546-nucleotide RNA transcript. It is a transcript of the gene named U-box domain-containing protein 44, with no coding region annotated. Lineage: Eukaryota; Viridiplantae; Streptophyta; Magnoliopsida; Asparagales; Orchidaceae. The record is from RefSeq and is a predicted model, not a curated record. The transcript is spliced from 4 exons.
UUACCGCGUCUACUCUUUUCCACUCCAUUCGCUCGUCUGUCUAUACUGGCGCCUGGCGGCUCUCUUUUUCUCCAUUUCUCUCUCCAAAUCUCGAUAUUCCGUUCUUCAUUCAGGGGUCUAGACCUAGUACAGAGAGCAGAUCGGGAUGGACUUCCUAACUAAUGGAAGGGAUGAGGCUCUCAAGAAAGUAUUCGAAGGGCUAUCAGACCUAAUCGCCUCAGCUGAGACAAUCCAGCACGAGGAGGAUAUCCUCCAUCGAUAUGCCGGGUUCAUGAUUCAUGUCAGAGAACUUAUCCGCAAGCUUCAAUCACAGCCCGCAACUACCAAUUCAGUCGGCUUGCUACUGAGAAUGGAAACCGAGGUCAACAAAGCUCGGGAAGUCAUCGAUGGGUACAAAUCCAGAAACCGUCUAUCCCGGCCCUUCAGAUACCGCUCCGUUGUCUCUAAGUUGAAUCAAUCUUCCAAGGAGAUCUACGCCGUUCUACAGCUCCUCCCACUCACUGAAAUCAACACAGCCCUAAACAUCAAAGAAGCUGCCGACGCCAUUAUUCACGGUAUUGAAUCCAUACAGCUUAAGCUUUCGACUAACACCAAUGCAAUCCUCUCUAGUCUCGACCAGUACGUCUCUGAGAACAGCGGGAAUCAACAUCAAACUUCGCCUAGUUUAGGGUUUAGGGUUGCUAGGCCAAAAGGUAUCGCAAGCAGCAGCGUCUGCCCUUUGCCUUUUCAGAUCCAAGUCCAAGAAGAAGGUGAUAGACCGCAUACAGAUUCGUACCAGCAGUUACCACCAAGCUCCUUCUUCUUAUGCCCCUUAACUGGGGAGGUUCUGGAGGAUCCAGUAUCUGUGUCCUGCGACCAUAGCUUUGAGAAGAAAGCAAUAGAGGACUAUUUCCACGCGGGGCAAAAUUUAUGCCCUCUUUGUAGCAAGGAGCUUUCUUCGUCUGGGAAUUUGGAACUCACAUCGAACUCCACGCUUCGCAACUCUAUAUUAGAGUGGAAGAGACGGGAAGAACGAACCAAUGCGGAAAGGAAUGCGAAGAAGAAGUUUAUAGACACGGCUGCAAAAAUUACCCUAGAUAACAUGGAGGACACCAACCGAGCAAUUGGUGACCUGCAUGAUCUGAUGAUUAAGAUUCCAAGUUGCGUCAGUGCAGCCACGGAUAGCUCCUGCAAACUUGUUCCAAAGCUUGCAGAGCUCUUGAUGAAUGACAGUUCAGAAAAUACUUCCACGGUGCUGCAAUGCCUGCUUCUGAUUGCUCGCUUUUCAGAUGAGAACAAGGAAAAAAUAGGCAAAAGGGGAGUGAUCAAAUGCCUUUUGAAACAUAGUAUGACGGAGCCAAAUGCUGUUGCUGUGUUGCUGGAGCUCUCCAGAAACAAGGUUGUUGCUGGAAAGAUUGAAGGAAUUCCAUACUCCAGUCACAUCUUGAUCUCGUUUUUAGACAAGCCAAGCUCUCCUGUAGCAGAAAUGGCACGUAAGGUGCUGGAGAACCUCACCAUUGAUAUCAAAUCUACUGUUAUGAUGGCCAAGUUUGGGUUCUUCACUCCGUUCUUGGUGCAAUUCAAUUCUCAAGACAUUUCCGAUGAGAUCAGAGCUUAUAUGGCAGAAGAACUAGCACAGAUUCAACUAUCAGAAACUUAUGCGAGGAACUUAGAAAAUGAGCAAUUAAUUGUUCAUUUAACUGAGAUGCUCAGCUGCCACUAUCCGUCUGGCAAAAUGGCAUCCCUCAAAUGCAUCAAACAGUUCAUAGCUUUCAAUGAACUAAGGACUUGCUUCCUCAAAAAUGAAUGUGCCGUUCCUGCUCUACUCUGUCUCAUAAAUAGCAAAACUGUUGAGGAGGAAUUGAAACAGAAAGCACUAGAGAUUCUGAUUUUACUCAUUCAGACGUCUCAACCCAGCCAUCCUGGCUUGCAGUCUCUCUUCUCCUCAAAUGGCAUACAAGACAUAAUUAACCAGGUCACAACCUCGGCUCCGGCGGACCAAAUCUCACUGCUUCGCCUUCUCCUCGUUAUGGCUCAGAACUCUGCUGCAACAGGAGAGUGGAUAGUUUCUGAUCAUCAUGCAAUGAGCUUUUUCUUCUCUGCCAUUAUUCUGGAUCAAAACAACCAGGUCAAAGUUAAUGCACUGAAGCUAAUAUCCUACUUUGCAGGAAACCAUCAUAUAGUUUUCCCCUCUUCACCUUCCAAAGAAUCAAUAGUUAGUUCCCUUAUAGCUUUGCUCACUGAGAAACGGAUUGAUGAAGAGCUAUAUGCUGCUGCGGCCAGCAUCCUCAUUCAUCUUCCUGCUAAUGACAAAUGCAUAAAUAAGUUGCUGCUGAACUCAGCUGUGCUGAAAUCCAUCCAUGCUCUAAUAACUCAUUCAAAUAUAUCCUAUUUGUUGUUAGAGAAUGCUUUCGGAGUAUUGUUACAUUGCGUAAAACAAUCCCAAUCCAAUCCAAAGUUUCAGAAAAAAGCCUGUAAUCUUCUACGAACUGAUCUAAUUGAAACUCUCUCGACUGGCAGCACUCUUGCCAAGCAGCGAGUCGCCAUGAUUCUUUCUCAUCUAUCUCGGUGCACUACCGAUUCAUCAUUAGAACCCAGCUCAUCUCAAUCUUCGCACUUUGGCCGUCGCCGUCUUGUUAACAUAAGAAUGUCGGUGAAGGAAGUAGAUGGUUGUCCUGUUCAUAAAUCCAGCUGCUCACAACAGCGUUCCAUCUGCCUUGUAAUGGAUAAGGCAGUGAAGCCAUUGAUAGAGAUGAUGAAAACUAUGGAGUUUGGUUUGACUGAAGCCGCUUUGGCGGCACUUGACACAUUGUUUGAUCCUGGUUGCAGUUUUAUUGGAGCUGCGACCACCAUUGUAGAGAGCCAUGGUGCAACACCAAUACUUGAGGUGCUUGAAAGGGGAGAAUUGAAUGCUAAGGAGCAGACACUUGAACUAUUCAGUAAGAUUUGUGGGCAUCCAGGUAUCACAGAAAUGGAGUUAGAUAGGUUUAAAGGAUUGCUUCUCAACAUAGUCAGAAAGGACGAUCGUCUCAAGAAUAAAGCUGAAAAAAUUUUGAAGGAUUUGGUUUGAAGAUUGGAUUGUUCAAAAUGUCAUAAUUGCUUUGCUUCUGUAUGAUUAAAGUUGAGCCAUGCAUGAUUAGAAGUUGUGAUGUGGAGGCACCUAUUACUUUAAAUUUCACCUGGUGGCCCUCUUUCUGAGCAUCGAGCUUAUUCAUUUUUAUUUCUGGUCAGAAUUUGUUGCUUCAGUAACUAAAUUUUCGUUCAGCUCCUUCGUUUUCUACUGCUUGGGGUUCAUUGUAUUUAGAUUGAGAUCAUUUUGCUGGCCUUCUGGACAUUGAUAAAUACAUCCCUACCUCCCAGUAUAUGCUCCCCUUGGAUGGUCGCAAUGGCAACCUCGAGAGUUCAACUCUAUUGAUUGGAAUAUAAUUUUGGCUGUAUUUUUGUAAAUUUUGAGUCUCAAUGUCUCUAAUAUUUUGGAUUUCUGAAUUGUCUCUUUGUUCUUUAGUCUUCUUUUUGAGCUUUGCUAUCUUUUUGUUGCAGCUCAUUGAUGCUCUUUUUUAUUUUUGG